UACGUAGGGGGCAAGCGUUGUCCGGAUUUAUUGGGCGUAAAGAGCGUGUAGGCGGCUAGAUAGGUCCGUUGUGAAAACUCGAGGCUCAACCUCGAGACGCCGAUGGAAACCAUCUAGCUAGAGUCCGGAAGAGGAGAAUGGAAUUCCUGGUGUAGCGGUGAAAUGCGCAGAUAUCAGGAAGAACACCCGUGGCUAAGGCGGUUCUCUAGUACGGUACUGACGCUGAGACGCGAAAGCGUGGGGAGCGAACGGG
RNAcentral lists this ribosomal RNA (253 nucleotides) under uncultured bacterium. Its description in RNAcentral is "partial 16S ribosomal RNA". It matches the Rfam family "Bacterial small subunit ribosomal RNA", at positions 524 to 776 of the family's 1533-position model. The record is from RNAcentral.